UAGAGGAGCCCUACGGUAUUCCUAAAUUUGCUACCCCAGGUCAGAGACCCCCGUCGCCUUGGCUCUAGUCGCAGCCCUCAACCCAGGGGGCACGGGACCCUCUUUGCAAAGCAGACAGUAAACCGCAGGUCGGUCUCUCGGCCCAAACGGGGAAGGCCUUGCCCCCGAACCAGCCCCUCUCCUUUCUCUGCAGUAAUCCGGAAACAUCACGCCGACUGCUCCACCUGCAUGCCCAGGCGGAGCUCAUCCAGAAGGAGGCGUCUUUCUCGGCUGCUCUGCUUGUGCUGGAGUUACUGAUGGGCGAACAGUGAGUCGCAGGAGGAGGGUGGUGUCCUCAGGGAGGGAGCAACCAGAGGGCCAGCAUUCAGCAGAAGGUGCAGGAGGACCAAAGCAGGCCCCUCGGGCUAGCUAGUUCAUCCCGGCCUUGGCCAUUUACGCCAGGAGGGGGGUGUUUAGCACCCACGCUCUCGAAUGACCUCGGGCCCCACUUCGUUUGGCAGAUUUUGGGACUCGCAGCCUGCGACGCCAGAGGCCUGCCACCAGGAGCUGGCUGGGCUGCGACUCGCAACGGGACGCAGACCGAAGGCAGCCUGGCGGGAGACGCAGACCGCCCCAGGGCGCUCGAUGACGGUUCUCCUCGACCGGCUGCUCCUCCAGCAAGAAAGGGACCGAUCCACCCUAGUCCACCUCCUGUGGACUCUCACAGACCCGGAGAUCGCCCGUGAAAGAGGCCACGACGAGACACCGCUGAGCCCCCUGGGAGCAGGAGUCCUGGGGGACGAAGUAUCACCCGGUUUGCAAGGCAUAGUCUCCCAGAUGCUGGCCCAGAAGCGCCUGGAAGCAGUAGCCCAGAAGGCGGACGUGUCGUGGCAAGACUGUGCCGUCGCGGUGCUUAUGGACCUGCAGCAAGAACAACAGCAGGAGCUGAGCCAGGCCAUCGAGGACCUGGUGGGCAUCGCCAGUGGACGGGAAGGAGAAGCCAGCCCCACGCUGUACGAGAGCCUCCUCGCCCGACUGCAGGAACCGCCGCUGAUGCCCUUGAUCCGAAGAAGGCAACCCUGGCCGUCCACCUCCUGGCAGAUGGGGAGAGAAAAAGAAGCCGUUCCAGCAGAUGAAAUGGAGAAAGCAGUCGACGGGGGAGGUCAACCUUCCCUCAAGGAGAAGCAGGAACGGCUGGUGACGCCCGCCCAAGGACCUCCGCAGGCCUUUGACCUUCCGGAUAGCGUUGAGGAAAAAACCUUACCCACUCAGGAGACGCUGGCGCCUCUGCCCCAAGAACGGGAGGAACCGGAGGCCACUCCACGUCAGCUGGAACGGGAGGCUCUUCAGGCCCACCAAGACCUCCAAGAAAAGCGGCCGGCGCUUCAGAUUUCUGACAUGGGUCCUUCCGAAGCUCCGUAUAACCAGCAACAGAAAGUUCCAGGACUUUCGCCAUUCCAGGGUGUUCUUCUGAAGAAAUCAAAAUCUCUGGACCCCCAAGAGUUGUCGCAGGUCAGCGUGGAAGAACCCUGGGGUUCACCACAGGUUCAGCUGGGUUGUGUGCACCCCCAAGGCCCGCAACCCCAGGGACCAAGAGAGGCCGAAAUUCAGGAAGGUUCCCAGGCAGAGGGUCCCAGUUCGAAGGACAGAGUGCAAAACUGGGAAUUUCCAGAGAGCGGACAAGAGCUUGUCCAGAGCCCAGCCCCGUUGCAGAAAGAGCCCGGAGUGUCUGUGGUGGAAGAGGGUCCAGAUCUCAAAGCCCCUGGAGCUUCGUCGAGGGAGAGACCUGUUCCCUGUUCUCAAGCACAGGGGAAGACAGAGGCCGGUCUGGCUCCGAGGGAGACCGCAGAAGCUCAAGAGAACCUCAAGAGAUCUCUGGAAAUAAGGGAACAAGUUGGUGCUCUGAGGAAACCAGAGGCGCUCCCACCCCAGGCUGGUUUGGCAAGGAAAGCCAAAUCUCUGGAGUCAGUGGCGACAUCAAGAACACAGGGAGGGAGGGAGCAGGAAAACCUUCUCACUCCAGAAAUGCCACAAGGAAUCCCUCUGGAGGUGACACAGGAGGGGCUAGAUCUGCCCCAAGGGAUGCUGUGGGAAGCACCAGAUGCUCUCACUGCCCCACAGACCCGUGAGGGUCUCAGGGCAUCCAGGAGAGAGCAGGAAGGCCCUGAGUCGCAGGGGAAGGAGCAACUCCAUCGUCAUGCCCAAGGUCCGAUGGGUCCAGAGGGGGUCCUGCCCCACAUCCCAGGACCUCUGCAAGGAGAUCGAAGGGGACGUGUUGUUCAAGAAACGGGGAGCCCUCAAGGUCCGUAUCUCCCAGAGGAGAGGGUUCUAGAAACCGCAAGAGACCAGAGGGAGCCAGAGCUUUCUCGGCCUCAAGACCUUCUUCUCUGCAGAAAUCUCUGGAGAAAAUCAAAGUCUCUUGAGCUGAGGAGGGCACCAGGCAUGGAGCCCCAGGAAUCAAGAGGGCUGCACGGAGCUUCUCCACAAGUCCAGGAUUUGCAGAACAUGGACACAAGAACGCUCCCACUUCGGGGCCACAAGCAAGCCAAAGGUUCUGGGUCCCCGGAAAUACGGAGCCAUCAGCCAGAGGAGACUUCUCUGAAAAAAGAAGAAGCGCUUCAGGUGAUAAGCAUGAAACAGGAAGAGGGAAGGUCGGCUGCACUUCAAAAUGUGGAAGAAAUGGGCGCCCUCUUACCCAAGGACGGACAAGAGGCAGAAAGCCACCAGUCUCAGGAGGUUCCACUGGAAAAAACACCCUCCCGUGACUUGACGGAGUCACCAGAACGUCACCCCCGUGAAAGGAAGGGGUUGGAAAUUUCCUACGUCCAGGAAGCUGCUCCAGAAACACAGGCAGGAAUCCCUCAGGAACUCAGACGGAGGGAAACACCGCCUCUUCUGUGGAGGGUUCUGUGGCAGAAGGCAAAAUCGUUUGAGCUCAGGAAAUGGGAUGUUCUUCGGCGUCCCGAGCUGGAACUGGCUCUGGCCCAGAAAAUACCACAGGAGGAACUGGGUGCUGCUCAGUUUCCUCAGGAGAUGAAGGAAACGUCCUUGGUUCAGCCACAGGACAAACCAGAGAUGGGCCCAGAGACACAAACGCCUCAGGAGCCAAGGCACUCCGAGAUCCUUUCCAACCAGAGAAAGGUUGAAGCAGAAAAGGCCACUCAAGGAGAGAAACCACAUCAGAUUUUGAAGAUGUCAGGAAUUCCUUUGGAUGCUCGAGUGGAACCAUCAAACAUUUCCGGAGAGAUCCGGGCCCUUUCACCUCAGGAGACGAGGAAGCCGGAAGCCCCUGCCAUCCAGGAGGGUCCACAGGGAAGUCCAGAGAUGCUUCAGAGUCAAGGAUUUCCACAGAAGGAGGUGAAGUUGACAAGCCGUCUGGGAACGUCCGUGCAAGGAGAACCAAAGGAGCCACAGCUCUCUGAAAGGAAGACUCUGGAAAACCGACAGGCCCAAGACGCCGUCUCACAAAAGGAUGUGUGGGUUCGUCAGCCCGAGGAAGGCAGGAGCCCAGAAUCUCCCCCUCUUCUGUGGGCAGCCUCGGGGAUAAAGUCAAAAUCUUUUGAGUUGGCGAAAGCAGAUGCUUCAGAAGCCCAGGACCUCGGGAGAUCACAGAAGGUUCAGUCACAGAAAAAAGUACAGAUGAAUCUCAAACUUAAGGAGCCCUAUGGAAGUAAACAUCCAAGUGUGAUUUCAUCUCGGGAACUGAGAGAGGAUGAUGCCACUCAGGUCCAAGCCGAGAAAGAAAGCUUGAAGGAAGAGAAGAUAGGGUCUGUGGAUUCCCAAGGGGCUGUGCCCCAGAAGGAGACCCCUCAGCCUCAGGAAAGUGAGACCUUAAAACAUCCUCUUCUGCAGGAGAAGCAGGGCUUUCUAGAUGAAAAGAAAAUGGAGUUCAGAAGAUCUCACGACCAGGGAAUCCCACCGAUAAACCUUUCUGAAUCACCACAGAAAGGGGCAGGACGGCUGAAGGAGCCAGAGGUGGUUUUUCAAGAACUGGGAGUUCCACAGGCUCUUCAGCCUUACGAAAAAGAGUGUCAUGAGAUAUUGGAGCCCCAAGAAGAUGGCUCCCCACCUAAAACGGUCCUUCACCACCAGGAAGGUAGAAGCUCAGAAACGCCUCCGCUUUUGUGGGGCGUCCUGGAGCUGAAGGCAAAAUCAUUUGAGCUGCAAAAGCCCAAAGUCUUUCAGACCCAAGAUAUGAGGCGCAUGGAGCCAGCCUUUUUGGCCCAAAGGGUGUCGCAGGAGGGACCACGAGCUUCUCAGGUCCACGGUGUGCAUGGGCUGCAGAGGGUCUUACCCCAAGGAGAACCACCCCUGGCAACAAGGGCCCCUGAAACACAGGCAGAUGGCCCUCCAGGGCCCCUUGGUCCAGCAGAACAGAGGGAGCUGGAAGCCCAUCUGGUCCAAACAGAGGAGAAAAGUUCUCACACGUUGAAGGCUUCAGGUUCUCAAGAAGAAAGCACUCCACCCAUGCCUCAGAUUCAGCAUCGCUUGCUGCAGGAUUCGAACGCGGUUCCAGUUCUUCAGCAUCAAAAACUGGGAGGGCUGGAAACCCACCAAGCUCAAGCAAGCUCACCGAGAAGGCCAGCAACUUCUCAGAGUACUAUAAUUCAGCAGCAAGGAUUUGAGCAGGCCUCCCGCCCACGUGGAGAGGAGACGCCUGGUUCUCCACCGUGGCCGCCAUCGGCUGAGAUGGAAACGGGGUUUCCUCAGCACCCGAAACGCACGAGCCCAGAAACGCCGCCUCUUUUCUGGUGGGCCUUGGAACUGGCGCAGCGAGGGAGGCUCCACCGAGGAGGGCUGGCUCCUUCUCAUCCCCAAGAGGAACCACCUGCCACCGAACGACAGGUAGGACUUGAGAGGCAACCGAAGGCCACAGAGGCCGGUAGUUUCGUGGUCUCUUCUCAGGGGGUCGAGAAGGCUCGAGUACGGAACGGUGUCUCUCAGGAGAAAGGAGUAACAUCAACGGGUGCGCUUCUUUCCCCUCAGGAAAAAACAGACCCAAAAUCCCCACAGCUUCAGGAGGAGAGGUCCCUAAAGGGAGAAUCCGUUAGUUGUGGGUGGUCCGUCUCACAACUGUGUGAGUCUCGGGAAGGAAUGGAGGCAAAGGAGCCUCCCAAAGCCAAGGACGAGGUCUUAGAAGCCCAGGGACGGAGAAAGAGGCAGCCGGCUCCCCUUCAGAAAUCUACCCAAAUCGAGAGGGACCCUCAAGAUGCAGAGGGAACCCAAAGAGAUCUGGAGGAUCUAAAGAGUUCUCUGCUACAGGGGAAAGGGUCUCCAAUAUGGGAUUCGAAGGAAAGGGAUCCUUUUCAUGACCAGGUGUCUGCCCCCUCCCAAGAGAAACCAGACACCCCGCACUCUUCAUCCACAUCUCUCCAGACUCAGGAGAUGCUGAAAGGUGAGCCUGGAGGUGGUGGUCCUUCGGGUGGGCCCCAGGUCCUUGGCCAAAAGGAAACACCCCUGGAAAGCACGGAGAAUCUGGAAGGGGUCAAACUAGGCGACUGCACAGCGGCUGAAACUCCGGAAGAUCAGAGGAAGGCAGAAGGUCUCCUGCCUCCAGGAAAAUUAAUACGGAAAUCGAAAUCUCUUGACCUAACGAAGCUACGAGACCCAGACUCACAAGACGUGUGGCAGCAGGAAGCACCUCAGGCUCACGGAGAAAAAACAAGCUCGGAAGCCUUUCAGGUCCCAGAGGAACACCAGAUGAAACUGCCAAAACGUCAUAUGCCAGAGGCCUCUGAGGCCGAGAGCACGGGAAACGUCCCUCGUGGACGGGAUGCAGAAAGCCAGACGUCUCCACAGGGAAUCUUAGGAGGCAUCUCAGAGCCUCUUCAGUUGAUGGAGCCAGAGGUCCCUCAGAGCCAGGAACUGAAAGGUCGUGUCGCACUUCACCCUCGUGGUUCACCACAGAGUCAUCCUGAGAACCUCACUCUCCAGGGAAAGAAGGAUCCCAAGGCUCUCUGCCCCCAGGGACACUGUGAAGGAGGAGGGAGCUGCAACUCUGUGGGGAAAGAUAAGCCCGGUGAGAUGCAUGGGGUUCUGCAAAGAUCCGCUUCCACCUUCCUCAUACAAGACGCUGCCGAGUCUCAGACAGCUCAGCUCAGGAAAUCAAAGUCUCUUGAGCCUCAGGAAUGGUCUGCGGUUCUGCUUCAAGGUCUGAAGGAACCAGCAACUCUCCAAGCUUCAGAAAGUGCGAAGGAAUGCCCUCAGGUUCUGGAGAGCUGUGGAAAUGAUCCACCUCACUGUGAUGCUACAGAGAUGGGGAGCAUGGCUUUGCAGGACCUGCAGGUUCUUAGGAAUGAAGUUCAGUCUCCCACACAACAGGAAAAGAGUCCUCUGGAGGAUUCAGCCCCACCGAAAAGAGAAAAUGGUCCAGACCUCUUGGGUGCCCAUGAAGACAUCCCCUUGAAGAUUGAGAAGUUCCAAGGAGUGGAAGAAAUGGAGGUCCUCCAACCACCGAGGGCUCCUCAGGUAAAAGAUGCCCCUGUACAGAUCCCAGGGGUUAUGGAAGCAAACGCUGGGAGUUCUGUGAGUCUGGAACCCAAAGAUUCAAAGAACGAGCGCACACUUCUGCUGCAGGACACCGCCGUGAAGGAGGCCGCAAGUCUUGAGUCUCCAACUGAGUGGCCCAUAACAGGUUCAGAGGCAAAAGCCUUUGGGUCCUGGUGGACUCUGGAGAAAUCUAAGUCUCUUGACUCAGGAGAAUUCCGUGCUCUCCAGUCAAAACCUUUAGGAAGAAAUGAGGAUUCCCCUGAGCUUCAGAAUAUCAAUAAACUCGGCAUGCCUUCGCCACAAAGAAAGCUUCAGGAGCAGCUCAGAGCACCUCAAGAAACACUUCCGCUCCAUGAACAUCUCCAAGAAGAUUCCCAAAACCAGGAUGAAAGAGGGUCUGAGGUCCAGAGAAAACAUCAGGUAGAGUCGGAACCUGUCAAGGUCCAAGAGCCAAUGAGAAAUGAAGGACCAGCCGUUUGUUUCCAGAACCAUGAAGAUACUGAGAUGUUCUCCUUCAAGAAAUGUGAGGAAUUAGAGGAUCGCCCCUUCCAGGAACAUUCCCCGAGGGAAGGAGAGUGUCUUGCCAUGCAAAGUUGCAAGCAAGUAGAACAAGACCCUCGAGGGCUGGAGGAAAACCAGCUUCUUGAUUCCCAAGAAAAGAGAGAUGUACAGAGUCCUGCAUUGCUAAGAAACCUGAUUAGGAAAUCUAAAACGCUGGGGUUUGAAUUGCCAACGAGGAGUGACGUUGGCCAGAUCCAGGAUGUUCCCAAAUCAGAAAGCCCUCGGGGCCAAGUUACGCUCAAACUAGGAACACGAUUGCCGCAUGAACAGAGGGAGCAAGGGGCUCAUUGCCUCGAGCAGCUGAGUCAGUUGGAUGUCCUUCAGCCUCAGAAGAUGUGUAACAUGGUUGGAGGGACUCUGCGAUUACUGGAGCAUCUUGAUCCCCAAAGGUUAGGUCACGAAAUGGAGGAUGAGGCCGUCGCCACUCAGAUAUCUCCGUGUGACAGUGAGGACUUCCUUCAGGAGCAAAACGGUGAACCACGUGCAGCUCUACGGGCCGUACUUCCUCAUGAUAUCCCACAGUUGGGGAUUAAGCUUCUUCAGGAACUGGGGGAGCUGCCCGAUGAACCUGAAGCUCUUAGACCCCAAGGACUGAAGGAUGAGGGGGCUCUUCAUCCCCAAGAGACUAGAGAUGCCCCUGAUGCAGAGGAGCACAGGACGAUGGAACCUGGGAGAGCCAGUGGUCUCCAGAUCCCUCCAGACCAGGAAUGGAGAGGCGUGGAGGCCCACCACCCUCGACCUGUACAUCAGAAGGUUUCUGAAGUACGUAGGGAGGAGUUAGUAAAACAGCUGCUUCUUCAGUCCCCUCAGAAAGCCCAAGGCCCUUUUCAGACCCCAGGAGUCAUGACAGAAGCGCCCGAUGGAAGUGCGAGGUUCCCAAUUCUGGAGGGACCCGGGAGAGUUCAGCCCCUCGAAGGCUUGCCAGAGGCAUCUCCUCGGGUUCCAGAGGCCAUGGGUCCACCUUGCCUUCCGUCCCAGGAAGGCUUGUUUCUCAAAGACCUUCAGAAAUCUCCGCAGUUUGGCUGGGAACCCCUUAAAGCUGAGGGGGAAACGAUAGAAGGAGGGCCAGGAACCCCAGUCUCUCCAGAGGAGCUGCAAGAAGCUGGGCUGACCGACUCAGGAUCUCGUGAAGCUCAGGAGUGGUCAAGAACCGCACAGGCUGUCCAGCAUCAGGAUCGGACGGGGCCAGCUGAAGGUCUACACACAUGGGAAAGGUCGCGGGACAGUCCACAGAUGGCCACAUGCCAAAGGCCACUGGAAAGGCAUCCACAGGGUCUUGGGUCCCAGGAAACUGCUAAGAAGAUGACGAGUCCGGGAAUCCAUUCUCCCCAGAAUCUGACGGAACGGGAGACCCACCCGGUAGACGAGGCGUUCACGAGGGAGCAGGAGGCCUCUCGCCUGGAAGAACGGAGGCCCAUCCGAUUGUACCGGAGGGAGUGGGAGCUUCAGAUGGAGAUGGAGGCCCUUGGGGCUGACCCACAGACUGAAUCACCAGCUUCUGAGGAAUGGAGCGAAGCCAGAACGUGGUCAUUUGAAGGGGCUCCACAGAAGACCCUCUUGACCCCCGGGGUGUCCCCCUUGGACCUGGGACAUCCUGAGCCCGGGGCCACCAGCAGGAAGCUGCAAACAUCGCAGCCGUGGGAGGAGGAAGCCACUGAAACCUGGAAGCCCACGACGGCGGUCCCCAUGCUUUCUCCCCCCAGCCCUGGAAGGGACGUUGAGGAGCCUCGGUGGGAGAUGGCGGCUUUCCGCAUGGGCUUGUCCAGAGAGGCCUCCAUCUGUGUGGCCCAAGGUGGGAGGCCGUCUCGGUUGCCUCAGGUAAGGAGGCCUGUGGGUGGCCAGGGAAGAGGGUCUGGCGAGGGCACCUGCGGGUGUUUGAAAAGGGGGAAAGAAGGCAGAGAGGGUGGAUUCUAAUCUCGGAGGCUGAAAUUGGAGCCAGUUCAGAGGAGGGCGACCAGGAGGAUCCGGGGGGGAGGGCGCUGGAAACCAAGCCCUU
Molecule: long non-coding RNA, 9025 nt
Filed under: Pogona vitticeps (central bearded dragon)
Lineage: Eukaryota; Metazoa; Chordata; Lepidosauria; Squamata; Agamidae
Description: lncRNA (ENSPVIG00000021614.1)
Source: RNAcentral